AACGAACGCUGGCGGCAUGCCUAACACAUGCAAGUCGAACGAGACCUUCGGGUCUAGUGGCGCACGGGUGCGUAACGCGUGGGAACCUGCCCUUAGGUUCGGAAUAACUCCCCGAAAGGGGUGCUAAUACCGGAUAAUGUCUUCGGACCAAAGAUUUAUCGCCUUUGGAUGGGCCCGCGUUGGAUUAGCUAGUUGGUAGGGUAAAAGCCUACCAAGGCGACGAUCCAUAGCUGGUCUGAGAGGAUGAUCAGCCACACUGGGACUGAGACACGGCCCAGACUCCUACGGGAGGAAGCAGUGGGGAAUAUUGGACAAUGGGCGAAAGCCUGAUCCAGCAAUGCCGCGUGAGUGAUGAAGGACUUAGGGUUGUAAAGCUCUUUUACCCGGGAUGAUAAUGACAGUACCGGGAGAAUAAGCGCCGGCUAACUCCGUG
RNAcentral lists this ribosomal RNA (433 nucleotides) under uncultured bacterium. RNAcentral describes it as "partial 16S ribosomal RNA". It matches the Rfam family "Bacterial small subunit ribosomal RNA", at positions 29 to 507 of the family's 1533-position model. The record is from RNAcentral.